AAAGACAGAGCUUAAGGUAAAAAGCAUGUGCUUGGCAUGCACGAGGUCCUAGGUUCAAUCCCCAGUACCUUCC
This 73-nucleotide transfer RNA is filed under the name Camelus ferus (Wild Bactrian camel). It matches the Rfam family "tRNA". Rfam says of the family: Transfer RNA (tRNA) molecules are approximately 80 nucleotides in length. Their secondary structure includes four short double-helical elements and three loops (D, anti-codon, and T loops). Lineage: Eukaryota; Metazoa; Chordata; Mammalia; Artiodactyla; Camelidae. The record is from Rfam by way of RNAcentral.